UCUUAUCAAGAGCGACGGAGGGAACAGGCCCUGUGAAGUCCGACAACCUGCCGAAAGGCAAGGUGCCAAAUCCUGCGGUGUACACCGAAAGAUAAG
Molecule: non-coding RNA, 96 nt
Filed under: uncultured Ruthenibacterium sp.
Lineage: Bacteria; Bacillati; Bacillota; Clostridia; Eubacteriales; Oscillospiraceae
Description: SAM riboswitch (S box leader)
Rfam family: SAM riboswitch aptamer (S box leader)
About the family: The SAM riboswitch is found upstream of a number of genes which code for proteins involved in methionine or cysteine biosynthesis in Gram-positive bacteria. The SAM riboswitch acts at the level of transcription termination control.
Source: RNAcentral